This 237-nucleotide ribosomal RNA is filed under the name uncultured fungus. RNAcentral describes it as "partial 18S small subunit ribosomal RNA". It matches the Rfam family "Eukaryotic small subunit ribosomal RNA", at positions 372 to 602 of the family's 1831-position model. The record is from RNAcentral. Lineage: Eukaryota; Fungi.
AGGGUUCUAUUCCGGAGAGGGAGCCUGAGAAACGGUACCCAACAUCCCAAGGAAGGCAGCAGGCGCGCAAAUUACCCAAUCCCGACAACGGGGAGGUAGUGACCAUAAAUACUGAUACAGGGCUCUUUUGGGUCUUGUCAAUUGGAAUGAGUACCAUUUAAAUCUCUUAACGAGGAACAAUUGGCCGGGCAAGUCUGGUGCCAGCAGCCGCGGUAAUUCCAGCUCCAAAUAGCGUAU